CCUACGGGAGACAGCAGUGAGGAAUAUUGGUCAAUGGACGAGAGUCUGAACCAGCCAAGUAGCGUGAAGGAUGACUGCCCUAUGGGUUGUAAACUUCUUUUAUAUGGGAAUAAAACGUUCCACGUGUGGGAUUUUGUAUGUACCAUAUGAAUAAGGAUCGGCUAACGCCGUGCCAGCAGCCGCGGUAAUACGGAGGAUCCGAGCGUUAUCCGGAUUUAUUGGGUUUAAAGGGAGCGUAGGUGGAUUGUUAAGUCAGUUGUGAAAGUUUGCGGCUCAACCGUAAAAUUGCAGUUGAAACUGGCAGUCUUGAGUACAGUAGAGGUGGGCGGAAUUCGUGGUGUAGCGGUGAAAUGCUUAGAUAUCACGAAGAACUCCGAUUGCGAAGGCAGUUCACUGGACUGCAACUGACACUGAGGCUCGAAAGUGUGGGUAUCAAACAGGAUUAGAUACCCGUGUAGUC
RNAcentral lists this ribosomal RNA (460 nucleotides) under uncultured bacterium. RNAcentral's name for it is "partial 16S ribosomal RNA". It matches the Rfam family "Bacterial small subunit ribosomal RNA", at positions 338 to 795 of the family's 1533-position model. The record is from RNAcentral.